CUUCUUACCGGGUGGAUCUCCUACAGAUGGAGGAUAAAUGCUGACAGGAGGCCACUUUCCUGAGCGGGCUGACCCGGGAACAGACGUUUGAUGCGGACCACGCUGCAGCGGUCUGCUCCCGAACACAGCUGUGAGAUGUAGAAGCUGAAGCCGAGACCAGACAGGCUUUUCUUCAGGACAACUUCAUGAGUGUUAUCUAGGAAAGCCAAGACAUCAAAAGAAGAGAGGAUCUGCAGGGAUGAGGAGUUGUCUUUUUAACAAAGUCCAGCCAGGAAAAAGGCAGCUUCAAGGUUUCAGCGCAUGCAGUCUGGAGGGACUAAGGCAGCAUCAGUCCUGGAUUACUCUGACAGCUAGCACAAUGUAGCUGUCAGAUGACUCACAGUCACCUCUGGGCUGUGUGUGUGUCAGUGUGUAUAUGGCUGUUUUUAUUUAUUUUUUUCUGGGGGACUGCAUGUGUCCCUUCCUCCCCCCUUCUCACCAUCAGUGACAAAGCUGUAGUCCCUGGCUCGACUAC
Long non-coding RNA from Oryzias melastigma (Indian medaka), 514 nucleotides. RefSeq lists it as uncharacterized. The transcript is spliced from 3 exons. NCBI's taxonomy places the organism in Eukaryota, Metazoa, Chordata, Actinopteri, Beloniformes, Adrianichthyidae. The record is from RefSeq and is a predicted model, not a curated record.